CCUACGGGAGGCAGCAGUAGGGAAUCUUCCGCAAUGGGCGAAAGCCUGACGGAGCAACACCGCGUGGUGGAUGAAGCGUUUCGGCGUGUAAACACCUUUUCUGAGGGAAGAAUUAUGACGGUACCUUAGGAAUAAGCACCUGCUAACUACGUG
This 153-nucleotide ribosomal RNA is filed under the name uncultured bacterium. RNAcentral describes it as "partial 16S ribosomal RNA". It matches the Rfam family "Bacterial small subunit ribosomal RNA", at positions 338 to 507 of the family's 1533-position model. The record is from RNAcentral.